UACGCCCGAUCUCGUCCGAUCUCGGAAGCUAAGCAGGGUCGGGCCUGGUUAGUACUUGGAUGGGAGGCCGCCUGGGAAUACAAGGUGCUGUAAGCUU
RNAcentral lists this ribosomal RNA (97 nucleotides) under Triportheus nematurus. The record is from RNAcentral. Lineage: Eukaryota; Metazoa; Chordata; Actinopteri; Characiformes; Triportheidae.